GUUCUUACCUGGCAGGGGAGAUACCACGACCACAAACGUGAUUUUCCCACAGUGAGGCUCAUCCAUUGCACUUCGGUGUGCUAACCCCGGCCAUUUCCUCAAAUGUGAAACUAGACUGCAUAAUUUGUGGUAAUAAUAUUAAUAAUACCAAAUGGAAUAAUU
Molecule: small nuclear RNA, 162 nt
Organism: Loxodonta africana (African savanna elephant)
Lineage: Eukaryota; Metazoa; Chordata; Mammalia; Proboscidea; Elephantidae
Rfam family: U1 spliceosomal RNA
About the family: U1 is a small nuclear RNA (snRNA) component of the spliceosome (involved in pre-mRNA splicing). Its 5' end forms complementary base pairs with the 5' splice junction, thus defining the 5' donor site of an intron. There are significant differences in sequence and secondary structure between metazoan and yeast U1 snRNAs, the latter being much longer (568 nucleotides as compared to 164 nucleotides in human).
Source: Rfam